RNAcentral lists this ribosomal RNA (586 nucleotides) under uncultured bacterium. Its description in RNAcentral is "bacterial SSU rRNA". It matches the Rfam family "Bacterial small subunit ribosomal RNA", at positions 338 to 916 of the family's 1533-position model. The record is from RNAcentral.
CCUACGGGAGGCAGCAGUGGGGAAUUUUGGACAAUGGGCGCAAGCCUGAUCCAGCAAUGCCGCGUGAGUGAAGAAGGCCUUCGGGUUGUAAAGCUCUUUUGUCAGGGAAGAAACGGUCUGUUCUAAUACAGCGGGCUAAUGACGGUACCUGAAGAAUAAGCACCGGCUAACUACGUGCCAGCAGCCGCGGUAAUACGUAGGGUGCAAGCGUUAAUCGGAAUUACUGGGCGUAAAGCGUGCGCAGGCGGUUUUGUAAGUUUGUCGUGAAAUCCCCGGGCUCAACCUGGGAAUGGCGAUGAAGACUGCAAGGCUAGAGUUUGGCAGAGGGGGGUAGAAUUCCACGUGUAGCAGUGAAAUGCGUAGAUAUGUGGAGGAACACCGAUGGCGAAGGCAGCCCCCUGGGUCAAAACUGACGCUCAUGCACGAAAGCGUGGGGAGCAAACAGGAUUAGAUACCCUGGUAGUCCACGCCCUAAACGAUGUCUACUAGUUGUCGGGUCUUAAUUGACUUGGUAACGCAGCUAACGCGUGAAGUAGACCGCCUGGGGAUACGGUCGCAAGNUUAAAACCGUCAAAGGAAUUGACGG